AACGCGUAUGCAACUUACCUCUAACAGGAGGAUAGCCUUUCGAAAGGAAGAAUAAUACUCCAUAAUAUUUAUUAGUGGCAUCAUUAAUUUGUUAAAACUACGGUGGUUAGAGAUAGGCAUGCGUCCUACCAGCUAGUUGGUGAGGUGGCAGCUCACCAAGGCGAUGAUAGGUAGGGGGUUUCCGAGGGUUAUCCCCCACACUGGUACUGAGACACUUUCCAGACUCCUACGGGAGGCAGCAGUGAGGAAUAUUGGUCAAUGGACGAAAGUCUGAACCAGCCAUGCCUUUUGCAGGAUUACUGCCCUACGGGUUGUAAACUCCUUUUAUAUAGGACGAAAAACUCGUUCGUGAACGAGGCUGAAGGUACUAUAAGAAUAAGGACCGGCUAACUCCGUGCCAGCAGCCGCGGUAAUACGGAGGGUCCAAGCGUUAUCCGGAUUUAUUGGGUUUCGCGGGUCCGCAGGCUCGAGAAUAAGUCAGUGGUGAAAUCCCGUC
RNAcentral lists this ribosomal RNA (496 nucleotides) under uncultured Owenweeksia sp. RNAcentral's name for it is "bacterial SSU rRNA". It matches the Rfam family "Bacterial small subunit ribosomal RNA", at positions 112 to 606 of the family's 1533-position model. Lineage: Bacteria; Pseudomonadati; Bacteroidota; Flavobacteriia; Flavobacteriales; Owenweeksiaceae. The record is from RNAcentral.